This 1464-nucleotide ribosomal RNA is filed under the name uncultured Bordetella sp. Its description in RNAcentral is "partial 16S-23S ribosomal RNA intergenic spacer". It matches the Rfam family "Bacterial small subunit ribosomal RNA". Lineage: Bacteria; Pseudomonadati; Pseudomonadota; Betaproteobacteria; Burkholderiales; Alcaligenaceae. The record is from RNAcentral.
AGUUUGAUCAUGGCUCAGAUUGAACGCUGGCGGAUGCUUUACACAUGCAAGUCGAACGGCACGGACUUCGGUCUGGUGGCGAGUGGCGAACGGGUGAGAAUACGACGGAACGUGCCUAGUAGCGGGGAUAACUACGCGAAAGGUAGCUUAAUACCGCAUAGCCGCCUCCUUCGGGGGAAGCGGGGGACCUUCGGGCCUCGCACUAGUUACGGCCGGAUAUCGAUUAGCUAGUUGGUGGGUAACGGCUCACCAAGGCGACGAUCCGUAGCUGGUUUGAGAGGACGUGACCAGCCACACUGGGACUGAGACACGGCCCAGACUCCUACGGGAGGCAGCAGGGAAUUUUGACAAUGGGAAACCCUGAUCCAGCCAUCCCGGGCGUGUGCGAUGAAGGCCUUCGGGUUGUAAAGCACUUUUGGCAGGAAGAAACGGCACGGAUAACACCCGCAACUGACGGUACCUGCAGAAUAAGCACCGGCUAACUACGCGUCAGCAGCCGUAAUACGUAGGGUGCAAGCAAGCAUCGGAAUUACUGGGCGUAGCGUGCGCGCAGGCGGUUCGGAAAGAUGUGAACCGCAGAGCGAACUUUGGAACUGCAUUUUUAACUACCGAGAGCUAGAGGAAGUCAGAGGGAGGUGGAAUUCCGCGUGUAAAGCAGUGAAAUGCGUAGAUAUGCGGGGAACACCGAUGAGCAUACAGCCUCCUGGGAUAACACCGACGCUCAUGCACGAAAGCGUGGGGAGCAAACAGAUUAGGAUACCCUGGUAGUCCACGCCCUAAACGAUGUCAACUAGCUGUUGGGGCCUUCGGGCUCGGUAGCAGGCAGCUAAUGCGUGAAGUUGACCGCCUGGGGAGUACGGUCGCAAGAUUAAAAACUCAAAGGAAUUGACGGGGACCCGCACAAGCGGUGGAUGAUGUGAUUAAUUCGAUGCAACGCGAAAACCUUACCUACCUUUGACAUGUCUGGAAAUCCCGAAGAGAUUUUGGGAGUGCUCGUAAGAGAACUGAACACAGGUGCUGCAUGGUUGUCGUCAGCUCGUGUCGUGAGAUGUUGGGUUAAGUCUCGCAACGAGCGCAACCCUUGUCAUUAGUUGCUACGAAAGGGCACUCUAAUGAGACUGCCGGUGACAAACCGGAGGAAGGUGGGGAGACGUCAAGUCCUCAUGGCCCUUAUGGGUAGGGCUCUUUACACGUCAUACAAUGGUCGGGACAGAGGGUCGCCAACCCGCGAGGGGGAGCCAAUCCCAGAAACCCGAUCAGUCCGAUCGCAGUCUGCAACUCGACUGCGUGAAGUCGGAAUCGCUAGUAAUCGCGGAUCAGCAUGUCGCGGUGAAUACGUUCCGGUCUUGUACACACCGCCCGUCACACCAUGGGAGUGGGUUUUAUCAGAAGUAGUUAGCCUAACCGUAAGGGAGGGCGAUUACCACGGUAGGAUUCAUGACUGGGUGAAGUCGUACAAGGUAA